UAUGGAGGUUCCUGGAGGAUGGUGUGCCCAGGGAGGGGAUGGAAGCUUCAUGCCCCUUCCUCCAUAACUCUGCCCUAUUCAUCUCUUCAUCUGAAGCACAAGCAACCCGUGGAAAAGCCCAUGUGGAGGAGAACCAAGACCCCCAGCCAAAUACCCUGCUGAGCUCCCAGCUGACAGACCGCAUCAACUUGCCAGCCACAUGAGUGAGCUGUCCUGGACGCGAGUUCUGCAACCUCUGGGCAAGCCACCUCAGCUGAUGCCACGUGAAGCAGAAAUGAGCUGCCUCCACCAAGCCGUGCCCAAAUCACAGAUCUGUGGGUAAAAUAAAUGAUUGUUAUUAUUAUAAAAAA
This 350-nucleotide long non-coding RNA is filed under the name Homo sapiens (human). RNAcentral's name for it is "HSALNT0004468". The record is from RNAcentral. Lineage: Eukaryota; Metazoa; Chordata; Mammalia; Primates; Hominidae.